GGGUGUGCUGGUGCACACCUGUAAUCCCAGUGACUUGGGAGGCUGAGGCAGGAGGAUCACAAGUUCAAAGCCAGCCUCAGCAACUUAGCGAGGCCCUAAGCAAUUCAGUGAGACCCUGUCUCUA
This 124-nucleotide small RNA is filed under the name Marmota monax (woodchuck). Lineage: Eukaryota; Metazoa; Chordata; Mammalia; Rodentia; Sciuridae. The record is from RNAcentral.